UACGUAGGGAGCAAGCGUUGUUCGGAUUUACUGGGCGUAAAGGGCGCGUAGGCGGCGCGGUAAGUCACUUGUGAAAUCUCUGAGCUUAACUCAGAACGGCCAAGUGAUACUGCAGUGCUAGAGUGCAGAAAGGGCAAUCGGAAUUCUUGGUGUAGCGGUGAAAUGCGUAGAUAUCGAGAGGAACACCUGCGGCGAAGGCGGGUUGCUGGGCUGACACUGACGCUGAUGCGCGAAAGCUAGGGGAGCGAACGGG
This 253-nucleotide ribosomal RNA is filed under the name uncultured bacterium. RNAcentral describes it as "partial 16S ribosomal RNA". It matches the Rfam family "Bacterial small subunit ribosomal RNA", at positions 524 to 776 of the family's 1533-position model. The record is from RNAcentral.